UGGGGAUGGCAGGAAAAUAUCCCCGUGGUCCUGAUGUCCUUUUGGGGUGCCAAUUCCUGGUUUGGAAGCUCCCAGAAAUCCACCUCAGACCCUGCCUGGCCAGGGCUCGGCUUGGAAGGCAGAACAGGAUCCCGAGAUAAAAAUCUCCCACCCCGCCGGCGAUUCUCCUUUCAGAUGAGCCGGAUUCCAGGAGCUCAGGGGCAAAACAAGCUCAGCUCAUGUAAAAUGGAUGUUCGGGAGGAAGGAGAGCGCUGUAAAACGAGACCCUGCAACAACAGAAGCGAUUCCCAGGCCUUUGCCAAAGGGAAUUGCUGCGGUCUGGGAGGGAACCGGGGUGUGGGGUUUCCUUCAGGACGUGGCAGAACUCGCAAAAACCCAAAGCGAUGGUGGAGAGAAAAGGACUGCAGGGAGCUCUUCUUGCCCUGGAAUCCCUGAGCCGACAAAACCUUUUUGUUUUUUUCCCCAUUUGAGUGCUGAGGAAGCUGUGGAGAAUUCCUCGCGAAUAAACAGGAUCACAUCAAAGGAAUACCUGACGCCACCAUCAAAGCAAGGUGUGAGAGCAGUCGCUGGCUGCUGCCUCGACUCCAAGUUAAUCUCCCUAAUUCCAGGUUGGAUUUUGCAGAAUUUAAGACGAGGAGGAAGGGAGGAGGGAACACCCCGGACCUGAGCAGGGAGGCGGCCGAGAGGAAGAAGAGAGGAGGAGGAGGAGGAGGAUCAGCUCAGCUCCGGAAGGUGAAAUCCCUGGCAAGUGUCAUGGGGGGAAAUCCAGCACUGUCAGCACCCCAGGGAUGGCGGAGAUCGGAGAUUUUCCCUCAGGGAAAAAUCUGGGAAUGAGGAGGAGUCCAAAAAUCUGGGAGUGAGGCGGACACCAAACCCACCUGGGCUGGUUGCUCUGUAAAAAUGAUUUACACCUAAAUUAUUUUCACUCUGAGGGAAUCAUCCCAGACAUUACUGUGGGUGGGAACUGUCAGUGCAGAAAGUGACCCCGUUAUUUAUUUAUAGUGACCCUGUACAUUUAUUAAUUUAUUUACAGUGACCCUAUAAAUUUAUUAAUUUCUUUACAGUGACCCUAUAAAUUUAUUUAUUUACUGCAUGGUGCGGAGGUUCAGGGACACCACAGCAUAAACAAUAUGAUCCAGUGAAGCCAAAUUUCUUAUCCCUAAAAUAAUAAUAAUAAUAGUAAUAAUAAUAGUAAUAGUAAUAGUAAUAGUAAUAGUAAUAAUAAUAAUAAUAAUAAUAAUUUGUUAUAAUUUAUAUUUUAUAAUAAUUAAUAUUAUAUUUAUUAUUAUAUUUAUAGUAAAUCUCUACUGUCCACACCUCUCUAGCUAAUACAUGAUUGGUUAAUCCAGGCUGUUCACACCUCCACAUUAGAAUGCUGAUUGGAUCGUCUCAUUUUUCUUGCUGUGCUUGUCUGGCCCACCCAUGGCUCACUUUUUUCUCACUUUCCCAAACCUUGCUGACAAACUUGCUGAGUUUUAAAUUUAUUUAUUUACUGUGGGGUGUGGAGGUUCAGGGACAUAGGGACAUCACACCAUAACCAAUGUGAUCCAGUGAAGUCAAAUUUCUUAUCCAUAAAAAGAGAAUUUAUUAUUUUAUUAUUAUUAUUAUAUUAAUUAUAUAUAUAUAUAUAUAUAUAAUAUUUAAAAUAAAUCUCUACUGUCAAUACA
Zonotrichia albicollis (white-throated sparrow) is the source of this 1667-nucleotide long non-coding RNA. NCBI's taxonomy places the organism in Eukaryota, Metazoa, Chordata, Aves, Passeriformes, Passerellidae. The record is from Ensembl.